RNAcentral lists this transfer RNA (75 nucleotides) under Chloroflexota bacterium. RNAcentral describes it as "Chloroflexi bacterium tRNA-Gly". It matches the Rfam family "tRNA". From Rfam's summary of the family: Transfer RNA (tRNA) molecules are approximately 80 nucleotides in length. Their secondary structure includes four short double-helical elements and three loops (D, anti-codon, and T loops). Lineage: Bacteria; Bacillati; Chloroflexota. RNAcentral also lists the same sequence under 2 other names. The record is from RNAcentral.
GCGGGAGUAGCUCAGUGGUAGAGCAUCUGCUUCCCAAGCAGAGGGUCGCGGGUUCGAAUCCCGUCUCCCGCUCCA